RNAcentral lists this ribosomal RNA (433 nucleotides) under uncultured bacterium. RNAcentral describes it as "partial 16S ribosomal RNA". It matches the Rfam family "Bacterial small subunit ribosomal RNA", at positions 29 to 507 of the family's 1533-position model. The record is from RNAcentral.
AACGAACGCUGGCGGCAUGCCUAACACAUGCAAGUCGAACGAGACCUCCGGGUUUAGUGGCGCACGGGUGCGUAACGCGUGGGAAACUGCCCUUAGGUUCGGAAUAACUCCCCGAAAGGGGUGCUAAUACCGGAUAAUGUCUCCGGACCAAAGAUUUAUCGCCUUUGGAUGGGCCCGCGUUGGAUUAGCUAGUUGGUAGGGUAAAAGCCUACCAAGGCGACGAUCCAUAGCUGGUCUGAGAGGAUGAUUAGCCACACUGGGACUGAGACACGGCCCAGACUCCUACGGGAGGGAGCAGUGGGGAAUAUUGGACAAUGGGCGAAGGCCUGAUCCAGCAAUGCCGCGUGAGUGAUGAAUGCCUUAGUGUUGUAAAGCUCUUUUACCCGGGAUGAUAAUGACGGUACCGGAAGAAUAAGCGCCGGCUAACUCCGUG